CUUGGUCAUUUAGAGGAAGUAAAAGUCGUAACAAGGUUUCCGUAGGUGAACCUGCGGAAGGAUCAUUAUUGAAAUAAAUCUGAUGAGUUGCUGCUGGUUCUCUAGGGAGCAUGUGCACACUUGUCAUCUUUAUAUCUCCACCUGUGCACCUUUUGUAGACCUGGAUAUCUCUCUGAGUGCUAGUCAUUCAGGUUUGAGGAUUGACUUUAUGUCUCUCUUUACAUUUUCAGGCCUAUGUUCUUCAUAUUACCCCAAUGUAUGUCACAGAAUGUAAUCAAUGGCUUUUUGCCUAUAAACCUAUACAACUUUCAGCAACGGAUCUCUUGGCUCUCGCAUCGAUGAAGAACGCAGCGAAAUGCGAUAAGUAAUGUGAAUUGCAGAAUUCAGUGAAUCAUCGAAUCUUUGAACGCACCUUGCGCUCCUUGGUAUUCCGAGGAGCAUGCCUGUUUGAGUGUCAUUAAUAUAUCAAUCUCUUCAGCUUUUGCUUGUUGAGUAUUGGAUGUGGGGGGNCCUUUUUGCUGGUCUUCAAAGGUCAGCUCCCCUGAAAUGCAUUAGCGGAACAAUAUGUGGACCGUUCAUUGGUGUGAUAACUAUCUACGCUAUUGACGUGAAGCUGUUCAGCUUCUAACAGUCCAUUGACUUGGACAAUUUUUCAUUAAUGUGACCUCAAAUCAG
RNAcentral lists this ribosomal RNA (675 nucleotides) under Phlegmacium rioussetiae. Its description in RNAcentral is "eukaryotic LSU rRNA". The stretch from base 304 to 457 matches the Rfam family "5.8S ribosomal RNA". The record is from RNAcentral. Lineage: Eukaryota; Fungi; Basidiomycota; Agaricomycetes; Agaricales; Cortinariaceae.